This 250-nucleotide long non-coding RNA is filed under the name Brassica napus (rape). Its description in RNAcentral is "long non-coding RNA (BNAP_LNC010784)". Lineage: Eukaryota; Viridiplantae; Streptophyta; Magnoliopsida; Brassicales; Brassicaceae. The record is from RNAcentral.
CUCGAUGAAUGCUUUUAAGAUAUCAAAGCAAAUUUUGUGACGAGAUAAAAAGAAUUUUAGCAAGGUUAUUGUAGAAACCCGUUAAAAAAAAAAGAAAAAAAAAAGAAUGGUCGAACAUCAAUUUGGUGGUCGAGUCGCGGGCAAUAAGGAUCGAUCGAGAAGUUUUAAAGUAUGAGGUGGGCGAAGAAGUGAUCGUGGGUGAACUAUGAGUCGAAUAAGUUGCUCGACCAUAGUUAGAAGAUGUCUUAGA